GCCCGCGAGGUGAGACACGCCAAAGUGCAAAUUUGGAGACGCACCCCUAAAGGUGCCGGGGCUUCUCCCGUUUUUAGGCGAACGGGAGAAGA
RNAcentral lists this transfer RNA (92 nucleotides) under Cyrtodactylus consobrinus. Its description in RNAcentral is "tRNA-Cys". Lineage: Eukaryota; Metazoa; Chordata; Lepidosauria; Squamata; Gekkonidae. The record is from RNAcentral.